RNAcentral lists this ribosomal RNA (300 nucleotides) under Calappula tortugae. Its description in RNAcentral is "eukaryotic LSU rRNA". It matches the Rfam family "Eukaryotic large subunit ribosomal RNA", at positions 87 to 358 of the family's 3401-position model. The record is from RNAcentral. Lineage: Eukaryota; Metazoa; Arthropoda; Malacostraca; Decapoda; Calappidae.
GGGCGACUGAACUGGGAAGAGCCCAGCGCAUAACCUGGCGUCGUGACCCGGCGCCAGGGGUGUUGCGUUUCGGAGGGUCCGGCACGCAGUCUCUCACCGCCUAAGUUAUGCUUGAAAGCGGCCACUACCCAUGGAGGGUGACAGGCCCGUGUGGCGGCGCCCGCGAGGGUACACGAGAGAUUGUCGGAAAGGGCCUCUCCGUAGAGUCGGGUUGCUUGAAAAUGCAGCCCUAAGUAGGUGGUAAACUCCAUCUAAGGCUAAAUAUGACCACGAGACCGAUAGCGAACAAGAACCGUGAGG